RNAcentral lists this ribosomal RNA (492 nucleotides) under uncultured bacterium. RNAcentral's name for it is "partial 16S ribosomal RNA". It matches the Rfam family "Bacterial small subunit ribosomal RNA", at positions 29 to 507 of the family's 1533-position model. The record is from RNAcentral.
AGUGAACGCUGGCGGUAGGCCUAACACAUGCAAGUCGAACGGCAGCACAGUAAGAGCUUGCUCUUACGGGUGGCGAGUGGCGGACGGGUGAGGAAUACAUCGGAAUCUACUUUUUCGGGGGGGAUAACGUAGGGAAACUUACGCUAAUACCGCAUACGACCUACGGGUGAAAGCAGUGGAUCUUCGCACCUUGCGCGAUUGAAUGAGCCGAUGUCGGAUUAGCUAGUUGGCGGGGUAAAGGCCCACCAAGGCGACGAUCCGUAGCUGGUCUGAGAGAAUGAUCGGCGACACUGGAACUGAGACACGGUCCAGACGCCUACGGGAGGCAGCAGUGGGGAAUAUUGGACAAUGGGCGCAAGCCUGAUCCAGCCAUACCGCGUGGGUGAAGAAGGCCUUCGGGUUGUAAAGCCCUUUUGUUGGGAAAGAACAGCAGCAGGUUAAGACCCCGCUGUUCUGACGGUACCCAAAGAAUAAGCACCGGCUAACUUCGUG